ACGCUGACAGAAUGCUUAACACAUGCAAGUCAACUUGAAUUUGGGUUUUUAACUUAGAUUUGGGUGGCGGACGGGUGAGUAACGCGUAAAGAACUUGCCUCACAGCUAGGGACAACAUUUAGAAAUGAAUGCUAAUACCUGAUAUUAUGAUUUUAAGGCAUCUUAGAAUUAUGAAAGCUAUAAGCACUGUGAGAGAGCUUUGCGUCCCAUUAGCUAGUUGGAGAGGUAACAGCUCACCAAGGCGAUGAUGGGUAGCCGGCCUGAGAGGGUGAACGGUCACAAGGGGACUGAGACACGGCCCUUACUCCUACGGGAGGCAGCAGUGGGGAAUAUUGGACAAUGGACCGAGAGUCUGAUCCAGCAAUUCUGUGUGCACGAUGAAGUUUUUCGGAAUGUAAAGUGCUUUCAGUUGGGAAGAAAAAAAUGACGGUACCAACAGAAGAAGUGACGGCUAAAUACGUGCCAGCAGCCGCGGUAAUACGUAUGUCACGAGCGUUAUCCGGAUUUAUUGGGCGUAAAGCGCGUCUAGGUGGUUAUGUAAGUCUGAUGUGAAAAUGCAGGACUCAACUCUGUAUUGCGUUGGAAACUGUAUAACUAGAGUACUGGAGAGGUAAGCGGAACUACAAGUGUAGAGGUGAAAUUCGUAGAUAUUUGUAGGAAUGCCGAUGGGGAAGCCAGCUUACUGGACAGAUA
This 693-nucleotide ribosomal RNA is filed under the name uncultured Fusobacterium sp. Its description in RNAcentral is "bacterial SSU rRNA". It matches the Rfam family "Bacterial small subunit ribosomal RNA", at positions 33 to 739 of the family's 1533-position model. Lineage: Bacteria; Fusobacteriati; Fusobacteriota; Fusobacteriia; Fusobacteriales; Fusobacteriaceae. The record is from RNAcentral.